This is a non-coding RNA of Chelonoidis abingdonii (Abingdon island giant tortoise), 258 nucleotides long. Lineage: Eukaryota; Metazoa; Chordata; Testudines; Testudinidae. The record is from RefSeq and is a predicted model, not a curated record.
CGGAGCAGGUCUCGGUGCCGCCGGCGGGGCGGGCUGAUCUGCAAGGCCGGGCUGUGCCAGGCGGCCCCGCGCCUGCUGCCCUCGUCGCUAAGGGCUGACCGGAGUUCCCAGGGUCUCCCGGGGGCAGGGCGCCCUGUCCGCGGCUGUUGCCAGUUGCAGAGGUGGGACGAGUCCGUUAGACCUACUUCUGCGAGUCCUCCCGUCAUCGUGGCCUUGAGCCCCUCUGCAUGCGUCUGGAACCUUGCACCCAACCUAAAA